This 253-nucleotide ribosomal RNA is filed under the name uncultured bacterium. RNAcentral's name for it is "partial 16S ribosomal RNA". It matches the Rfam family "Bacterial small subunit ribosomal RNA", at positions 524 to 776 of the family's 1533-position model. The record is from RNAcentral.
UACGAAGGGGACUAGCGUUGUUCGGAUUUACUGGGCGUAAAGCGCGCGUAGGCGGAUCGCUAAGUCAGGGGUGAAAUGCCGAGGCUCAACCCCGGAACUGCCUUUGAAACUAGAUUGCUAGAAUCCUGGAGAGGUUAGUGGAAUUCCGAGUGUAGAGGUGAAAUUCGUAGAUAUUCGGAAGAACACCAGUGGCGAAGGCGACUAACUGGACAGGUAUUGACGCUGAGGUGCGAAAGCGUGGGGAGCAAACAGG